Molecule: ribosomal RNA, 497 nt
Filed under: uncultured bacterium
Lineage: Bacteria
Description: partial 16S ribosomal RNA
Rfam family: Bacterial small subunit ribosomal RNA
Source: RNAcentral
GAUGAACGCUGGCGGCGUGCCUAAUACAUGCAAGUCGAGCGAACAGACGAGGAGCUUGCUCCUCUGACGUUAGCGGCGGACGGGUGAGUAACACGUGGAUAACCUACCUAUAAGACUGGGAUAACUUCGGGAAACCGGAGCUAAUACCGGAUAAUAUAUUGAACCGCAUGGUUCAAUAGUGAAAGACGGUUUUGCUGUCACUUAUAGAUGGAUCCGCGCCGCAUUAGCUAGUUGGUAAGGUAACGGCUUACCAAGGCAACGAUGCGUAGCCGACCUGAGAGGGUGAUCGGCCACACCGGAACGGAGCCACGGUCCAGACUCCUACGGGAGGCAGCAGUAGGGAAUCUUCCGCAAUGGGCGAAAGCCUGACGGAGCAACGCCGCGUGAGUGAUGAAGGUCUUCGGAUCGUAAAACUCUGUUAUUAGGGAAGAACAAAUGUGUAAGUAACUAUGCACGUCUUGACGGUACCUAAUCAGAAAGCCACGGCUAACUACGUG